UACGAAGGGUGCAAGCGUUACUCGGAAUUACUGGGCGUAAAGCGUGCGUAGGUGGUCUUUUAAGUCCGUUGUGAAAUCCCUGGGCUCAACCUGGGAAUGGCAGUGGAUACUGGAGGGCUAGAGUGCGGUAGAGGGUAGUGGAAUUCCCGGUGUAGCAGUGAAAUGCGUAGAGAUCGGGAGGAACACCAGUGGCGAAGGCGGCUACCUGGACCAGCACUGACACUGAGGCACGAAAGCGUGGGGAG
Molecule: ribosomal RNA, 245 nt
Filed under: uncultured bacterium
Lineage: Bacteria
Description: partial 16S ribosomal RNA
Rfam family: Bacterial small subunit ribosomal RNA
Source: RNAcentral